Molecule: ribosomal RNA, 253 nt
Filed under: uncultured bacterium
Lineage: Bacteria
Description: partial 16S ribosomal RNA
Rfam family: Bacterial small subunit ribosomal RNA
Source: RNAcentral
UACGUAGGGACCGAGCGUUGUCCGGAAUCAUUGGGCGUAAAGAGCGUGUAGGCGGCCACUUAAGUCCUGCGUGAAAUCUUGCGGCUCAACCGCAAGCGGUCGUGGGAAACUGGGUGGCUAGAGUGCGGGAGAGGAGAGUGGAAUUCCUGGUGUAGCGGUGGAAUGCGCAGAUAUCAGGAAGAACACCCGUGGCGAAGGCGGCUCUCUGGAACGCAACUGACGCUGAGACACGAAAGCCAGGGGAGCGAACGGG